This 468-nucleotide ribosomal RNA is filed under the name uncultured bacterium. RNAcentral describes it as "partial 16S ribosomal RNA". It matches the Rfam family "Bacterial small subunit ribosomal RNA", at positions 28 to 507 of the family's 1533-position model. The record is from RNAcentral.
GACGAACGCUGGCGGCGUGCUUAACACAUGCAAGUCGAACGGCAAGGCCCUGCUUUUGUGGGGUGCUCGAGUGGCGAACGGGUGAGUAACACGUGAGUAACCUGCCCUUGACUUUGGGAUAACUUCAGGAAACUGGGGCUAAUACCGGAUAGGAGCUCCUGCUGCAUGGUGGGGGUUGGAAAGUCUCGGCGGGUGGGGAUGGACUGGCGGCUUAUCAGCUUGUUGGUGGGGGAGUGGCUUACCAAGGACUUGACGGGUAGGCGGCCUGGGAGGGUGACCGGCCACAUUGCGACUGAGAGACGGCCCAGUCUCCUAUGGUGGGCAGCAGGGGGGAAUAUUACACAAUGGUCGGAAGCCUGAUGCAGCAACGCCGCGUGCGGGAUGACGGCCUGCGGGUUGUAAACCGCUUUCGCCUGUGACGAAGCGGUAGUGACGGUAAUGAGUAAAGAAGCACCGGCUAACUACGUG